GACAGCUGUAGGCACUUUGCAGACUCUACCUUAUCCUCUGAGCAAUCCUGGGAGGAAGGUGUUAUUACCAAGUCUAAUCUACAGUUGAAACAACUGAGGCUUGGAGAAUUGGUUCUUGACUUUGACUUACCUCUCAGUGAACUGUGAGCCCUGCAGAAAUAUUCAAGUGUAAAGUCAUGGGUCCUGGGGAGAACAGAGAAGUGGAGAAGAAGGGAACUUCUUUUAAGGUUGAGGGUCUGGUGCUGCACAUUCUGGCAAGUCAAUGCAAGCAGUUCUUACUCCGGAAAACGCAGAAACCUCCCAUGUUGGUUUAGAACUAAAAACAUUGGCUUAAAACCAAAAAUGUUUGUUUAGAACUAAGAAUAAUGGCCACUUUAUUGAAUGCAUGUGUUUUUCAGAUUCCAGUUUAAUUAAAAUCAGUGAGACAGAGUGGUUUCAUCAUUGAACCUUAA
This is a non-coding RNA of Macaca mulatta (Rhesus monkey), 452 nucleotides long. The record is from RefSeq and is a predicted model, not a curated record. Lineage: Eukaryota; Metazoa; Chordata; Mammalia; Primates; Cercopithecidae.